RNAcentral lists this ribosomal RNA (459 nucleotides) under uncultured bacterium. RNAcentral describes it as "partial 16S ribosomal RNA". It matches the Rfam family "Bacterial small subunit ribosomal RNA", at positions 338 to 795 of the family's 1533-position model. The record is from RNAcentral.
CCUACGGGUGGCAGCAGUGAGGAAUAUUGGUCAAUGGGCGGGAGCCUGAACCAGCCAAGUCGCGUGAGGGAAGAAGGUACUGAGUAUCGUAAACCUCUUUUGCCAGGGGAUAAAGGUGGGGACGUGUGGCCGUAAGAGGGUACCUGGUGAAUAAGGAUCGGCUAACUCCGUGCCAGCAGCCGCGGUAAUACGGAGGAUCCGAGCGUUAUCCGGAUUUAUUGGGUUUAAAGGGUGCGUAGGCGGCGUGUCAAGUCAGCGGUAAAAUGUCGGGGCUCAACCCCGGCCGGCCGUUGAAAAUGGGGUGCUCGAGUUGGAGAGAAGCAUGCGGAAUGCGUGGUGUAGCGGUGAAAUGCAUAGAUAUCACGAAGAACCCCGAUUGCGAAGGCAGCCUGCCGGGUCCUCACUGACGCUGAGGCACGAAAGCGUGGGUAUCGAACAGGAUUAGAUACCCGAGUAGUC